UACGAAGGGGGCUAGCGUUGUUCGGAAUUACUGGGCGUAAAGCGCACGUAGGCGGACUACUAAGUCAGGGGUGAAAUCCCGGGGCUCAACCCCGGAACUGCCUUUGAUACUGAUAGUCUCGAGUCCGGAAGAGGUGAGUGGAAUUCCGAGUGUAGAGGUGAAAUUCGUAGAUAUUCGGAGGAACACCAGUGGCGAAGGCGGCUCACUGGUCCGGUACUGACGCUAAGGUGCGAAAGCGUGGGGAGCAAACAGG
This 253-nucleotide ribosomal RNA is filed under the name uncultured bacterium. RNAcentral's name for it is "partial 16S ribosomal RNA". It matches the Rfam family "Bacterial small subunit ribosomal RNA", at positions 524 to 776 of the family's 1533-position model. The record is from RNAcentral.